GCCAUAACUCAUCAAUCUCCGGUGGUUGCAGACAGUUGGAUGAUGGCACUCAACACAAUAAGUGUAAUGAUUUCAACAAGCAAUCCUGCUUGUACACUUCAAAAAUCAUUCAGGAUAAAACUUGUGCAAGUGGCACCAAUCAUAUUAGAAACUCUCCUGAUCCAAUCAACCAUUUACAGCAUCAACAGUUGUUGAAGGAGAAUGCUAGGUCUCUGAAUACUUCAUCCCAUGCAAAAUGUGGUACUGAAGAAACUAAUUUGCAAAACG
Molecule: unclassified non-coding RNA, 267 nt
Filed under: Hevea brasiliensis (rubber tree)
Lineage: Eukaryota; Viridiplantae; Streptophyta; Magnoliopsida; Malpighiales; Euphorbiaceae
Source: RNAcentral